This 301-nucleotide ribosomal RNA is filed under the name uncultured bacterium. Its description in RNAcentral is "partial 16S ribosomal RNA". It matches the Rfam family "Bacterial small subunit ribosomal RNA", at positions 509 to 807 of the family's 1533-position model. The record is from RNAcentral.
CAGCCGCCGCGGGAAUACGUAGGUGGCAAGCGUUGUCCGGAAUUAUUGGGCGUAAAGGGCUCGCAGGCGGUUUCUUAAGUCUGAUGUGAAAGCCCCCGGCUCAACCGGGGAGGGUCAUUGGAAACUGGGAAACUUGAGUGCAGAAGAGGGGAGUGGAAUUCCACGUGUAGCGGUGAAAUGCGUAGAGAUGUGGAGGAACACCAGUGGCGAAGGCGACUCUCUGGUCUGUAACUGACGCUGAGGAGCGAAAGCGUGGGGAGCGAACAGGAUUAGAUACCCCGGUAGUCCUUGUCUCUUAUAC